UACGGGGGGGGGUAAGCGUUGUUCGGAAUUACUGGGCGUAAAGGGCUCGUAGGUGGCCAACUAAGUCAGACGUGAAAUCCCUCGGCUUAACCGGGGAACUGCGUCUGAUACUGGAUGGCUUGAGAUUGGGAGAGGGAUGCGGAAUUCCAGGUGUAGCGGUGAAAUGCGUAGAUAUCUGGAGGAACACCGGUGGCGAAGGCGGCAUCCUGGACCAACACUGACACUGAGGAGCGAAAGCCAGGGGAGCAAACGGG
Molecule: ribosomal RNA, 254 nt
Filed under: uncultured bacterium
Lineage: Bacteria
Description: partial 16S ribosomal RNA
Rfam family: Bacterial small subunit ribosomal RNA
Source: RNAcentral